This 388-nucleotide ribosomal RNA is filed under the name uncultured bacterium. RNAcentral's name for it is "bacterial SSU rRNA". It matches the Rfam family "Bacterial small subunit ribosomal RNA", at positions 30 to 419 of the family's 1533-position model. The record is from RNAcentral.
AUUGAACGCUGGCGGCAUGCCUUACACAUGCAAGUCGAACGGCAGCACGGGAGCAAUCCUGGUGGCGAGUGGCGAACGGGUGAGUAAUAUAUCGGAACGUGCCCAGUCGUGGGGAUAACGUAGCGAAAGCUACGCUAAUACCGCAUACGAUCUAUGGAUGAAAGCGGGGGAUCGCAAGACCUCGCGCGAUUGGAGCGGCCGAUAUCAGAUUAGGUAGUUGGUGAGGUAAAGGCUCACCAAGCCGACGAUCUGUAGCUGGUCUGAGAGGACGACCAGCCACACUGGGACUGAGACACGGCCCAGACUCCUACGGGAGGCAGCAGUGGGGAAUUUUGGACAAUGGGCGAAAGCCUGAUCCAGCAAUGCCGCGUGCAGGAAGAAGGCCUUC